Molecule: non-coding RNA, 2057 nt
Organism: Phascolarctos cinereus (koala)
Lineage: Eukaryota; Metazoa; Chordata; Mammalia; Diprotodontia; Phascolarctidae
Source: RefSeq, a predicted model, not a curated record
AGGCAGGAGGAAAGCAGAAGUGAGCUCCGGCACAGCCCUGGGAGUCCCAUUUUACAGAUGAAGAAACCAACACUCUGAGGUGUUAGUGACUCAACCUCUCUCUGUGAAGCAGAACUUGGUGGGUGAACACGAAGCGACCUUCUCCUUCCCCUCCCCUUCUCAAUGGAAGCCAUCGCAGGAUACCAGGGCCAGGACCACGCAGCAGAGGAGGACGCCGACCACGCACACACUCCCUGGGGCUGCCAGUGCCCACCCUGCUCAGAUUUGCAAGGCCAAUGUCAGCUCCCUCCUGGGGGGCCUUCCCUGGCCUGGAUCUGAGCCACAGAGCCACAGAAGCUGUCUUUGGAACUGGUGCCAAACCACGCACGAGGAGGAGUGACUGGGACCGAAAGGGGUCUUGGCUUCUUCCUCCAGAGACUAAGGAGGUCGGAUCAGAUGAUCUGCUCCAGUCCCUUUCAGUCCUGACAUACUAGACUCUGUGUUUUCAGUGCUUCCCAGCUCUUAACAGCCUGCAGUCUUGUGUUCUAAGAUCCCCUCCUGGUUCUGACAUUCUGUGUUCUAAGGUCCUUCCCACCUCUUAACACUUGGGUUUGAAGGUGACAUUGUGUGUUCUAAGAGCUCUCACAGCCCUGAUAUUUUGUGUUCUAAGGCCCCUCCCAAGCCUGACAUGAUAUGUUCUAAGGUAACAUUCUCUGUUCUAAGGUCCUUCCCACCUCUGACACUCAUUAUGUUAAGGCAACACUAUAUGUUCAGCGGUCCUCCCAGCCUUGACAGUCUCUGUUCUAAAGUGACAUUCUGUGUUCUAAGGUCCCUCUCACCUCUGACACCUGUGUUCCGAGGUGACAUUCUGUGUUCUAAGAGCCCUCCCAGCUCUGUUAUGGUAUGUUCUAAGGUGACUUUCUAUGUCUUCAGGGCCCCCCUAGCCCUGAUAUUCUGUGUUCUAGGAUGACAUUCUCUGUUCCAAGGGCCCUCCCAGAGUUGAAAUGCUUUGUUCUAAAGUGACUUUCUAUCUCCUCAGGGCCCUCCCAGCCCUGACAGUCUGUGUUCUAGGAUGAAAUUCUGUGUUCUAAAGGUCCUCCCAGACCUGACAUUCUGUGUUCUAGGAUGACAUUCUCUGUUCUAAGGGUCCUCCUAGAGUUGACAUGCUAUGUUCUAAGGUGACUUUCUAUGUUCUCAGGGCCCUCCCAGCCCUGACAUUCUGUGUUCUAAGGGCCCUUCCAGCCCUGACAUUCUCUGUUCUGAAGGUCCUCCCAGCCCUGACAUUCUCUGUUCUAAGGGCCCUCCCAGCCUUGAUAUUCUGUGUUCUAGGAUGACUUUCUGUGUUCUGAAGGCCCUCCCAGCCCUGACAUUCUGUGUUCUAGGAUGACAUUCUCUGUUCUAAGGGUCCUCCUAGAGUUGACAUGCUAUGUUCUAAGGUGACUUUCUAUGUUCUCAGGGCCCUCCCAGCCCUGACAUUCUGUGUUCUGAAGGUCUUCCCAGCCUAUUCUGUGUUCUUGGAUGACAUUCUGUGUUCUGAAGGUCCUCCCAGCCCUGACAUUCUGUGUUCUAGGAUGACAUUCUCUGUUCUAAGGGUCCUCCUAGAGUUGACAUGCUAUGUUCCAAGGUGACUUUCUGUGUUCUCAGGGCCCUCCCAGCCCUGACAUUCUCUGUUCUAAGGGCCUUCCCAGCCCUGACCCUCUUUGCCCCCAGGCCAUCCUUACUGGAGCUGCCGUUUCUGUGGCCCUUUCAGGUGGGCAGGAGACUCUUUCACGGGACCCUCAUCAGAGCCCUGUGAGGGGCCACUCCUCCAGUGGACAUGUCCCAGUGUGUGUGUUCUCUCCAGUGAUGCAGAUUGCAAUCCAUCCAUGCCCAUCCCCCCGGGCACCCGUCAACCACAUGAGGUAGGUUGUACAAAGAUUGUGAUUGUCCCCAUUUUACUGAUGAAAACACAGGCUCAGAGCAGAUAUUUAGCCCAGGUCACUGCUAAGGGUAGGGCCUAGGACUCAAACCCCAGACUCUUGCUGCUGCCCCAUGCCAGCCUCCCCAGAGCCCAGAGGCUGCCCGCCUCAUGCCAGGAA